This is a long non-coding RNA of Rhodamnia argentea, 872 nucleotides long. RefSeq lists it as uncharacterized. NCBI's taxonomy places the organism in Eukaryota, Viridiplantae, Streptophyta, Magnoliopsida, Myrtales, Myrtaceae. The transcript has 3 exons. The record is from RefSeq and is a predicted model, not a curated record.
CCCAAUCAGGGAUCUUGGAAGAGAAAUUGUUCGGAGUGAGUGCCUCCAAAUUUCUGGAAAGCAAAGCAGGCUAUGGCGUCCUAUGCUUGCCUUAGAAGUAGUUCAGUUCAACAAGGGAACAGACAAUGUUGUGGCACUGAAACUCACAGGACUCUCCAAUCUUCCCAACCUCACAAGUGAGCAAUUUUCAAGGCUUCCCAAUUUGAGGUUCCUUGAAUUAGAUGGAGGAAAACUUGUAGGAGAAAUUCGAGCAUCUUCGCUCAAAUUUAAAACGGCUCUCAUGGCAUCAUUGCCCUGCAGAAUUACAUGCUAACAAGCUUUGCUUAAAGAACUUAGUCGUACUCAAGCUUUCAGAGAGCGACAUUACUGAAGAUUGGGUCGGAUGGGAAGUAUGCAUGGUGAAUGGUAAGUUAAAAGUCAUGCAUAUGACAGGUUGUAAAAGAUUAAUCAGGACACCCAACUUCUCCAGGUGCUUAAAUUUGAAGACGUUGGUCCUUAAAGAUUGUGAAAAUUUGAAAAAGAUAUAUAGUUGGAUUGGCAAGCUAGAACGUCUGAAGUGCUUCGAAAUUAGUGGGAAGAACUCUCUGUUUCGUUGGCAGUUUCCUUUAAGGGACAAUGUGUUUGUAGUACCUUUAGUAUUAGACUCCAUUGGUGGCCUAAAAUCCCUAUUGACGCUAAAGAUAGAAAAUGAGCAAGUUCGAGAACUUCCUCUCUCAAUUGGAGAGCUAUCAGGUUUGGAGUACUUGUCUUUGAGCCAUUGUCCUGAGCUUGAAAGGCUUCCAAAUUCCAUAGGAGAAUUGAAGUCACUGCUCCAAUUGGAUCUGUCUGUUAGUGGAAUUAUUGAAUAACCUGAGUCUAUUUGGGGACUAGAU